UACGGGGGGGGCAAGCGUUGUUCGGAAUCACUGGGCGUAAAGGGCUCGUAGGUGGCCAACUAAGUCAGACGUGAAAUCCCUCGGCUUAACCGGGGAACUGCAUCUGAUACUGGAUGGCUUGAGAUUGGGAGAGGGAUGCGGAAUUCCAGGUGUAGCGGUGAAAUGCGUAGAUAUCUGGAGGAACACCGGUGGCGAAGGCGACAUCCUGGACCGGUAUUGACGCUGAGGCGCGAAAGCCAGGGGAGUAAACGGG
RNAcentral lists this ribosomal RNA (253 nucleotides) under uncultured bacterium. Its description in RNAcentral is "partial 16S ribosomal RNA". It matches the Rfam family "Bacterial small subunit ribosomal RNA", at positions 524 to 776 of the family's 1533-position model. The record is from RNAcentral.